UCACUAUAGCGAGAGGAUCCCGAGCCACCCUAGUACGACCCUACUCCUCUAUAGUACUACCCGACACCACCGUAGUAUGAUCUCGUGCCCCAGCCACAGUACCACCCGGCACUGCCACAGUACAAUCUGGUGCCCCCACCGUAUCAGCAAGUACCAUCACAGGGCCCCCCAGUCUAUCCUCAACCUAGCGCAGUCCCUUUUCCACGGGACCUAGUUCCUCCCACGAUUGACCCGGGCUACAUAGAGAGGUACAAGAGACUAAACCAAUCCACUUUUACGGGGGGAUCCUCUUUU
RNAcentral lists this long non-coding RNA (294 nucleotides) under Carica papaya (papaya). Its description in RNAcentral is "long non-coding RNA (CPAP_LNC006910)". Lineage: Eukaryota; Viridiplantae; Streptophyta; Magnoliopsida; Brassicales; Caricaceae. The record is from RNAcentral.